UACGUAGGGUGCAAGCGUUAAUCGGAAUUACUGGGCGUAAAGCGUGCGCAGGCGGUUUUGUAAGUCAGGUGUGAAAUCCCAGGGCUUAACCUUGGAACUGCAUUUGAGACUGCAUAGCUAGAGUACGGUAGAGGGGGAUGGAAUUCCGCGUGUAGCAGUGAAAUGCGUAGAUAUGCGGAGGAACACCGAUGGCGAAGGCAAUCCCCUGGACCUGUACUGACGCUCAGGCACGAAAGCGUGGGGAGCAAACAGG
This 253-nucleotide ribosomal RNA is filed under the name uncultured bacterium. RNAcentral's name for it is "partial 16S ribosomal RNA". It matches the Rfam family "Bacterial small subunit ribosomal RNA", at positions 524 to 776 of the family's 1533-position model. The record is from RNAcentral.